CAGCCGCCGCGGUAAAACCAGCACCUCAAGUGGUCAGGAUGAUUAUUGGGCCUAAAGCAUCCGUAGCCGGCUCUGUAAGUUUUCGGUUAAAUCUGUACGCUUAACGUACAGGCUGCCGGGAAUACUGCAAAGCUAGGGAGUGGGAGAAGUGGACGGUACUCGGUAGGAAGUGGUAAAAUGCUUUGAUCUAUCGAUGACCACCUGUGGCGAAGGCGGUCUACGAGAACACGUCCGACGGUGAGGGGUGAAAGCUGGGGGAGCAAACCGGAUUAGAUACCCGGGUAGUCCCAGCUGUAAACUAUGCAAACUCAGCGAUGCAUUGGCUUGUGGCCAAUGCAGUGCUGCAGGGAAGCCGUUAAGUUUGCCGCCUGGGAAGUACGUACGCAAGUAUGAAACUUAAAGGAAUUGGCGGGGGAGCAC
This 420-nucleotide ribosomal RNA is filed under the name uncultured euryarchaeote. RNAcentral describes it as "bacterial SSU rRNA". It matches the Rfam family "Archaeal small subunit ribosomal RNA", at positions 459 to 879 of the family's 1478-position model. Lineage: Archaea; Methanobacteriati; Methanobacteriota. The record is from RNAcentral.